RNAcentral lists this ribosomal RNA (665 nucleotides) under uncultured bacterium. Its description in RNAcentral is "bacterial SSU rRNA". It matches the Rfam family "Bacterial small subunit ribosomal RNA", at positions 59 to 703 of the family's 1533-position model. The record is from RNAcentral.
CAGUCGUGCGAGAAAGGGCUUCGGCCCCGGUUAAAGCGGCGCACGGGUGAGUAACACGUAGGCAAUCUGCCUCCGAGUGGUGGAUAACCUUCCGAAAGGAGGGCUAAUACAGCAUAAGACCACGGGUUCGUAGAACCUGAGGUCAAAGCGGACCUCUUCAUGAAAGUUCGCGCUUGGAGAUGAGCCUGCGGCCCAUCAGCUAGUUGGUAAGGUAAUGGCUUACCAAGGCUAAGACGGGUAGCUGGUCUGAGAGGACGAACAGCCACACUGGAACUGAGACACGGUCCAGACUCCUACGGGAGGCAGCAGUGGGGAAUCUUGCGCAAUGGGCGAAAGCCUGACGCAGCGACGCCGCGUGAGCGAUGAAGGCCUUCGGGUUGUAAAGCUCUGUGGGGAGAGACGAAUAAGGUGCAGCUAAUACCUGCAUCGAUGACGGUAUCUCCUUAGCAAGCACCGGCUAACUCUGUGCCAGCAGCCGCGGUAAGACAGAGGGUGCGAACGUUGUUCGGAAUUACUGGGCGUAAAGCGCGUGUAGGCGGCAGCGUGUGUCGGGCGUGAAAUCCCCAUGGCUUAACCAUGGAAGUGCACCCGAAACUGCGCAGCUAGAGUCCUGGAAAGGAAGAUGGAAUACUUGGUGUAGAGGUGAAAUUCGUAGACAUCAAGUG